UGGGGAAUAUUUCACAAUGGGCGCAAGCCUGAUGCAGCCAUGCCGCGUGUGUGAAGAAGGCCUUCGGGUUGUAAAGCACUUUCAGCGAGGAGGAAGGGUGGUGUGUUAAUAGCACAUUGCAUUGACGUUACUCGCAGAAGAAGCACCGGCUAACUCCGUGCCAGCAGCCGCGGUAAUACGGAGGGUGCAAGCGUUAAUCGGAAUUACUGGGCGUAAAGCGCACGCAGGCGGUUUGUUAAGUCAGAUGUGAAAUCCCCGCGCUUAACGAGGGAACUGCAUUUGAAACUGGCAAGCUAGAGUCUUGUAGAGGGGGGUAGAAUUCCAGGUGUAGCGGUGAAAUGCGUAGAGAUCUGGAGGAAUACCGGUGGCGAAGGCGGCCCCCUGGACAAAGACUGACGCUCAGGUGCGAAAGCGUGGGGAGCAAACA
Molecule: ribosomal RNA, 427 nt
Filed under: uncultured bacterium
Lineage: Bacteria
Description: partial 16S ribosomal RNA
Rfam family: Bacterial small subunit ribosomal RNA
Source: RNAcentral